Mastomys coucha (southern multimammate mouse) is the source of this 131-nucleotide small nucleolar RNA. RefSeq annotates it as small nucleolar RNA SNORA17. The record is from RefSeq and is a predicted model, not a curated record. NCBI's taxonomy places the organism in Eukaryota, Metazoa, Chordata, Mammalia, Rodentia, Muridae. The transcript has a single exon.
CUUGUACCUAGAGUCAUUGCAUGUGUGAGUGUUGUGUCACAUGUGCAUCAGUAGGUGACAGAGAGAGAGAGGCUAUGUCUAUGCUCAGUGUCAUGACCUGUGACUAUCUGAAAGAUUAGUAGCCUAAUACU